Molecule: transfer RNA, 89 nt
Filed under: Sporobolus alterniflorus (smooth cordgrass)
Lineage: Eukaryota; Viridiplantae; Streptophyta; Magnoliopsida; Poales; Poaceae
Description: tRNA-Ser
Rfam family: tRNA
About the family: Transfer RNA (tRNA) molecules are approximately 80 nucleotides in length. Their secondary structure includes four short double-helical elements and three loops (D, anti-codon, and T loops).
Source: RNAcentral
AGGAGAGAUGGCCGAGUGGUUCAAGGCGUAGCAUUGGAACUGCUAUGUAGGCUUUUGUUUACCGAGGGUUCGAAUCCACCACUUAUUCC